This 251-nucleotide ribosomal RNA is filed under the name uncultured prokaryote. RNAcentral describes it as "partial 16S rRNA". It matches the Rfam family "Bacterial small subunit ribosomal RNA", at positions 525 to 775 of the family's 1533-position model. The record is from RNAcentral.
ACGGAGGAUGCGAGCGUUAUCCGGAUUCAUUGGGUUUAAAGGGUGCGUAGGCGGACUAUUAAGUCAGUGGUGAAAUCCUGCAGCUUAACUGCAGAACUGCCAUUGAUACUGAUAGCCUUGAGUUUGGUUAAGGUAGGCGGAAUGUGUAAUGGUGCGGGGGAAUGGUUUGGUAUUACACAGGACCCCCAUUGGGGUAGGCACUUACUGGGCCGGACCUGGUGGUGGAGCCCCGAAGGGUGGGGAUCGAACAG